Molecule: ribosomal RNA, 421 nt
Filed under: uncultured eukaryote
Lineage: Eukaryota
Description: SSU rRNA
Rfam family: Eukaryotic small subunit ribosomal RNA
Source: RNAcentral
CCAGCAGCUGCGGUAAUUCCAGCUCCAAUAGCGUAUAUUAAAGUUGUUGCAGUUAAAAAGCUCGUAGUUGGAUUUCUGGCAGGAGCGUCCGGUCUCACACUCAGUGCGGGAACUUGGAUGUCUCUGGCCAUCUUUGGGGAUAUCCUGUUUGGCAUUAAGUUGUCGGGCAGGGGAUACCCAUCGUUUACUGUGAAAAAAUUAGAGUGUUUCAAACAGGCGUUCGCCGUGAAUACAUUAGCAUGGAAUAAUAAGAUAGGACUUCGGUUCUAUUUUGUUGGUUUCUAGAACUGAAGUAAUGAUUAAUAGGGACAGUCGGGGGCAUUCGUACUUAACUGUCAGAGGUGAAAUUCUUGGAUUUGUUAAAGACGAACUACUGCGAAAGCAUUUGCCAAGGAUGUUUUCAUUGAUCAAGAACGAAAGU